AUUGAACGCUGGCGGCAGGCCUAACACAUGCAAGUCGAACGGUAACAGGAAGCAGCUUGCUGCUUCGCUGACGAGUGGCGGACGGGUGAGUAAUGUCUGGGAAACUGCCUGAUGGAGGGGGAUAACUACUGGAAACGGUAGCUAAUACCGCAUAACGUCGCAAGACCAAAGAGGGGGACCUUAGGGCCUCUUGCCAUCGGAUGUGCCCAGAUGGGAUUAGCUAGUAGGUGGGGUAACGGCUCACCUAGGCGACGAUCCCCAGCUGGUCUGAGAGGAUGACCAGCCACACGGGAACUGAGACACGGUCCAGACUCCUACGGGAGGCAGCAGUGGGGAAUAUGGCACAAUGGGCGCAAGCCUGAUGCAGCCAUGCCGCGUGUAUGAAGAAGGCCUUCGGGUUGUAAAGUACUUUCAGCGGGGAGGAAGGGAGUAAAGUUAAUACCUUGGCUCAUUGACGUUACCCGCAGAAGAAGCACCGGCUAACUACGUG
This 490-nucleotide ribosomal RNA is filed under the name uncultured bacterium. RNAcentral describes it as "partial 16S ribosomal RNA". It matches the Rfam family "Bacterial small subunit ribosomal RNA", at positions 30 to 507 of the family's 1533-position model. The record is from RNAcentral.